RNAcentral lists this ribosomal RNA (478 nucleotides) under uncultured bacterium. Its description in RNAcentral is "partial 16S ribosomal RNA". It matches the Rfam family "Bacterial small subunit ribosomal RNA", at positions 28 to 523 of the family's 1533-position model. The record is from RNAcentral.
GACGAACGCUGGCGGCGUGCUUAACACAUGCAAGUCGAGCGAUGAAGUUCCUUCGGGAAUGGAUUAGCGGCGGACGGGUGAGUAACACGUGGGUAACCUGCCUCAUAGAGGGGAAUAGCCUUCCGAAAGGAAGAUUAAUACCGCAUAAGAUUGUAGUAACGCAUGAUAAAGCAAUUAAAGGAGUAAUUCGCUAUGAGAUGGACCCGCGUCGCAUUAGCUAGUUGGUGAGGUAACGGCUCACCAAGGCGACGAUGAGUAGCCGACCUGAGAGGGUGAUCGGACACAUUGGGAAUGAGACACGGCCCAGACUCCUACGGGAGGCAGCAGUGGGGAAUAUUGCACAAUGGGGGAAACCCUGAUGCAGCAACGCCGCGUGAGUGAUGACGGUCUUCGGAUUGUAAAGCUCUGUCUUCAGGGACGAUGAUGACGGUACCUGAGGAGGAAGCCACGGCUAACUACGUGCCAGCCGCCGCAGUAA